GGUGAUUCAUAGUAACCGAACGGAUCGCAUUAUGGUCAUUUUGUAUGGCUGGCGAUAGAUCAUUCAAGUUUCUGACCUAUCAGCUUUCGACGGUAGUGUAUUGGACUACCGUGGCAGUGACGGGUAACGGGGAAUUAGGGUUCGAUUCCGGAGAGGGAGCCUGAGAAACGGCUACCACAUCUAAGGAAGGCAGCAGGCGCGCAAAUUACCCAAUCCUGACUCAGGGAGGUAGUGACAGGAAAUAACAACACUGGAAAUUUUAUUUCUAGUGAUUGGAAUGAUGGGAAUUUAAACCCCUUUCAGAGUAACAAUUGGAGGGCAAGUCUGGUGCCAGCAGCCGCGGUAAUUCCAGCUCCAAUAGCGUAUAUUAAAGUUGUUGCAGUUAAAAAGCUCGUAGUUGGAUGUCUGCUGGAAGCAAUCAGUCCGUCCUAUUUGUAGGGUGUGCACUUGAUGAAUUCUGGCAUCUAUGUCCCAAUGAUGCGUUAUUGUAUGAUGGCGUACGUAUAUAGGUUAAUCCUAUAUUAUACUGCCCAUCUCUAUAAUCUUAUUGGGAUAAUACCGUUACUUUGAGAAAAUUAGAGUGUUUGAAGCAGGCUAAUAAUUAUUGCCUUGAAUACUGCAGCAUGGAAUAACAAUAUAGGAUUUCGGUUCUAUUUUGUUGGUUUCUAGGACUGAAAUAAUGAUUAAUAGGGACAGUUGGGGGCAUUCGUAUUUAACUGUCAGAGGUGAAAUUCUUAGAUUUGUUAAAGACGAACUACUGCGAAAGCAUUUGCCAAAGAUGUUUUCAUUAAUCAAGAACGAAAGUUAGGGGCUCGAAGACGAUCAGAUACCGUCGUAGUCUUAACCAUAAACUAUGCCGACUAGAGAUAGGAAAAUGUCAUUUUUCUGACUUCUCCUGCACCUUAUGAGAAAUC
RNAcentral lists this ribosomal RNA (914 nucleotides) under Sarcocystis sp. 5C-Fu777. RNAcentral's name for it is "SSU rRNA". It matches the Rfam family "Eukaryotic small subunit ribosomal RNA", at positions 245 to 1099 of the family's 1831-position model. The record is from RNAcentral. Lineage: Eukaryota; Apicomplexa; Conoidasida; Eucoccidiorida; Sarcocystidae.